RNAcentral lists this transfer RNA (72 nucleotides) under Oncorhynchus mykiss (rainbow trout). It matches the Rfam family "tRNA". From Rfam's summary of the family: Transfer RNA (tRNA) molecules are approximately 80 nucleotides in length. Lineage: Eukaryota; Metazoa; Chordata; Actinopteri; Salmoniformes; Salmonidae. The record is from Rfam by way of RNAcentral. RNAcentral also lists the same sequence under 3 other names.
GAUGAUGUGGCUCAGUUGGUAGAGCAUGGCGCUUGCAAUGCUAGGGCUGUGGGUUCGAUUGCAACAAUUUCA